GGCGGUGUAGCUCAGGUGGUUAGAGCAAACGGCUCAUAUCCGUUGUGUCCGGGGUUCAAGUCCCUGCACCGCCACCA
This 77-nucleotide transfer RNA is filed under the name Acidobacteriota bacterium. RNAcentral's name for it is "Acidobacteria bacterium (hot springs metagenome) tRNA-Met". It matches the Rfam family "tRNA". Rfam says of the family: Transfer RNA (tRNA) molecules are approximately 80 nucleotides in length. Their secondary structure includes four short double-helical elements and three loops (D, anti-codon, and T loops). Lineage: Bacteria; Pseudomonadati; Acidobacteriota. RNAcentral also lists the same sequence under 2 other names. The record is from RNAcentral.